AAGCAGCCAUCAUUUAAAGAAAGCGUAAUAGCUCACUGGUCGAGUCGGCCUGCGCGGAAGAUGUAACGGGGCUAAACCAUGCACCGAAGCUGCGGCAGCGACGUUUAUGCGUUGUUGGGUAGGGGAGCGUUCUGUAAGCCUGUGAAGGUGGCCUGUGAGGGUUGCUGGAGGUAUCAGAAGUGCGAAUGCUGACAUAAGUAACGAUAAAGCGGGUGAAAAGCCCGCUCGCCGGAAGACCAAGGGUUCCUGUCCAACGUUAAUCGGGGCAGGGUGAGUCGACCCCUAAGGCGAGGCCGAAAGGCGUAGUCGAUGGGAAACGGGUUAAUAUUCCCGUACUUGGUGUUACUGCGAAGGGGGGACGGAGAAGGCUAUGUUGGCCGGGCGACGGUUGUCCCGGUUUAAGCGUGUAGGUGUGUGUUCCAGGUAAAUCCGGUUCACUUUAACACUGAGGCGUGACGACGAGGCACUACGGUGCUGAAGCAACAAAUGCCCUGCUUCCAGGAAAAGCCUCUAAGCAUCAGGUAACAUCAAAUCGUACCCCAAACCGACACAGGUGGUCAGGUAGAGAAUACCAAGGCGCUUGAGAGAACUCGGGUGAAGGAACUAGGCAAAAUGGUGCCGUAACUUCGGGAGAAGGCACGCUGACACGUAGGUGAAGUGAUUUACUCAUGGAGCUGAAGUCAGUCGAAGAUACCAGCUGGCUGCAACUGUUUAUUAAAAACACAGCACUGUGCAAACACGAAAGUGGACGUAUACGGUGUGACGCCUGCCCGGUGCCGGAAGGUUAAUUGAUGGGGUCAGCGCAAGCGAAGCUCCUGAUCGAAGCCCCGGUAAACGGCGGCCGUAACUAUAACGGUCCUAAGGUAGCGAAAUUCCUUGUCGGGUAAGUUCCGACCUGCACGAAUGGCGUAAUGAUGGCCAGGCUGUCUCCACCCGAGACUCAGUGAAAUUGAACUCGCUGUGAAGAUGCAGUGUACCCGCGGCAAGACGGAAAGACCCCGUGAACCUUUACUAUAGCUUGACACUGAACAUUGAGCCUUGAUGUGUAGGAUAGGUGGGAGGCUUUGAAGUGUGGACGCCAGUCUGCAUGGAGCCGACCUUGAAAUACCACCCUUUAAUGUUUGAUGUUCUAACGUGGACCCGUUACCCGGGUUGCGGACAGUGUCUGGUGGGUAGUUUGACUGGGGCGGUCUCCUCCUAAAGAGUAACGGAGGAGCACGAAGGUUGGCUAAUCCUGGUCGGACAUCAGGAGGUUAGUGCAAUGGCAUAAGCCAGCUUGACUGCGAGCGUGACGGCGCGAGCAGGUGCGAAAGCAGGUCAUAGUGAUCCGGUGGUUCUGAAUGGAAGGGCCAUCGCUCAACGGAUAAAAGGUACUCCGGGGAUAACAGGCUGAUACCGCCCAAGAGUUCAUAUCGACGGCGGUGUUUGGCACCUCGAUGUCGGCUCAUCACAUCCUGGGGCUGAAGUAGGUCCCAAGGGUAUGGCUGUUCGCCAUUUAAAGUGGUACGCGAGCUGGGUUUAGAACGUCGUGAGACAGUUCGGUCCCUAUCUGCCGUGGGCGCUGGAGAACUGAGGGGGGCUGCUCCUAGUACGAGAGGACCGGAGUGGACGCAUCACUGGUGUUCGGGUUGUCAUGCCAAUGGCACUGCCCGGUAGCUAAAUGCGGAAGAGAUAAGUGCUGAAAGCAUCUAAGCACGAAACUUGCCCCGAGAUGAGUUCUCCCUGAGACUUUAGGUCUCCUGAAGGAACGUUGAAGACGACGACGUUGAUAGGCCGGGUGUGUAAGCGCAGCGAUGCGUUGAGC
RNAcentral lists this ribosomal RNA (1804 nucleotides) under Salmonella enterica subsp. enterica serovar Bovismorbificans. RNAcentral's name for it is "partial 23S ribosomal RNA". It matches the Rfam family "Bacterial large subunit ribosomal RNA", at positions 1110 to 2891 of the family's 2925-position model. The record is from RNAcentral. Lineage: Bacteria; Pseudomonadati; Pseudomonadota; Gammaproteobacteria; Enterobacterales; Enterobacteriaceae.